GACGAACGCUGGCGGCGUGCUUAACACAUGCCAGUCGAACGGAAUGGCCCUGCUUUUGUGGGGUGCUCGAGUGGCGAACGGGUGAGUAACACGUGAGUAACCUGCCCUUGACUUUGGGAUAACUUCAGGAAACUGGGGCUAAUACCGGAUAGGAGCUCCUGCUGCAUGGUGGGGGUUGGAAAGUUUCGGCGGUUGGGGAUGGACUCGCGGCUUAUCAGCUUGUUGGUGGGGUAGUGGCUUACCAAGGCUUUGACGGGUAGCCGGCCUGAGAGGGUGACCGGCCACAUUGGGACUGAGAUACGGCCCAGACUCCUACGGGAGGCAGCAGUGGGGAAUAUUGCACAAUGGGCGGAAGCCUGAUGCAGCAACGCCGCGUGCGGGAUGACGGCCUUCGGGUUGUAAACCGCUUUCGCCUGUGACGAAGCGCGAGUGACGGUAAUGGGUAAAGAAGCACCGGCUAACUACGUG
Molecule: ribosomal RNA, 468 nt
Filed under: uncultured bacterium
Lineage: Bacteria
Description: partial 16S ribosomal RNA
Rfam family: Bacterial small subunit ribosomal RNA
Source: RNAcentral